Oncorhynchus tshawytscha (Chinook salmon) is the source of this 658-nucleotide long non-coding RNA. NCBI's taxonomy places the organism in Eukaryota, Metazoa, Chordata, Actinopteri, Salmoniformes, Salmonidae. The record is from Ensembl.
UGUUUAUGUUCAACACACCUCCAACAUAUUAUUCUGCUGUCCGCACGGAGAGCGAAGCAUUAAAAAUAAAAAUAAACAUUUUGGGGGAAUGUAACUUUGUACAGGAAGAAAGCUAACACGAAAGCGUCGUAUGAUUGGCCAUUCUGACUGUUUUUUUUUGUAUCAAACAUUGAGAUUUGUUGACAAAUUGCCUUUGUUAGCUGGUAACUCAACCAACUUGGUCUGAAGCGGCGGGUGGUAGAUGGUUGUCCCCCGCUCACUGAGCGGUGUGUCUCGGCAGGAGGAGCGCAUCGACUCCGCUUCAUUGGCAGCAGAGAACUGGAAGGAGAGGCGGCCAAAGAAAGAAUUGGUUUUGGGGGUGACCAGAGAGAUAUACCUGCUGGAGCGCGUGCUACAGGGUUGCAGCGGCGACAACCAACAGGCACAUGCAGGAUGAGGAGGCGGAGCUGAAGCUCAGCUGACCCCACCCAUUUAGUGUGACCUCCCUCCUACCCUCACCCAUCCAGCCAGCCGGGCCCAUGUUCUCUCCAGAGCAGGAAAAUAUCUCCCCCUCCUCCACCUCCUCCUCCAAAGUGCCGGUGAAAUAUGGAGAGCUCAUGGUGCUGGGGUAAGGAGCCAACCACAUUAUAACACUUCACCACUUAGUAACUAACUCAGA